CCUACGGGAGGCAGCAGUGAGGAAUAUUGGUCAAUGGGCGCGAGACUGAACCAGCCAAGUAGCGUGAAGGAUGACUGCCCUGCGGGUUGUAAACUUCUUUUAUAAAGGAAUAAAGUGUGGCACGUGUGCCUUUUUGUAUGUAUCUUAUGAAUAAGGAUCGGCUAACUCCGUGCCAGCAGCCGCGGUAAUACGGAGGAUCCGAGCGUUAUCCGGAUUUAUUGGGUUUAAAGGGAGCGUAGAUGGGUUGUUAAGUCAGUGGUGAAAGUUUGCGGCUCAACCGUGAAAUUGCAAUUGAUACUGGCAGUCUUGAGUACAGGUGAGGUAUGCGGAAUUCGUGGUGUAGCGGUGAAAUGCUUAGAUAUCACGAAGAACUCCGAUUGCGAAGGCAGCAUACUAAACUGCCACUGACAUUGAUGCUCGAAAGUGUGGGUAUCAAACAGGAUUAGAUACCCUUGUAGUC
Molecule: ribosomal RNA, 460 nt
Filed under: uncultured bacterium
Lineage: Bacteria
Description: partial 16S ribosomal RNA
Rfam family: Bacterial small subunit ribosomal RNA
Source: RNAcentral